AUGGGAAUUCGUGCUAUAACGACAAAUUUUGUAAAUGCCCAUUCCCCUAAUGCAAAUAGGAAGAUUGGAGGGUGGAGUAGACCUUCGAGGGGCUUUGUUAAAUUAAAUGUGGAUGUUGCCUUCGAUCAUGAUCUACUAAAGGGCACAACGGGGGCUGUCCUUAGGGAUGACAAAGGAAACUUCAUUGUAGGUGCAAAUUGGAAAAUUGAUUGUUGCGCUGAUGUCCUGACAGCGGAAGCAUUAGCACUUAGGUUUGGCUUAUCGCUAGCACAGAAGGCGGGUUGCAAUCGUCUUGUUAUCAACUCUGACAAUAUGGAAGUCAUUGACACAAUGAAGAAUGGAGGACACUCUGCAGGAGCGGCAGCAGCAAUUUUUUAUGACUGUUUUUUUAUAGCUUGUGAUUUUCCUCUUACUAGUUUUGAACAUUGUAAUAGGGAAGCGAACAAGGUAGCGCAUGAGUUGGCUCGACUAGAAAAAUAUUCCGUGACGAGGGAUUGGAUUGAGGAGCCUAUGGGAAAUAUUGUAUCUCUACUUAUAGACGAUGUAACCAUUAUUUCUAAUUAA
RNAcentral lists this ribosomal RNA (564 nucleotides) under Triticum aestivum (bread wheat). RNAcentral's name for it is "partial small subunit ribosomal RNA". Lineage: Eukaryota; Viridiplantae; Streptophyta; Magnoliopsida; Poales; Poaceae. The record is from RNAcentral.